GUAUAUUAGGUUACUAACUCGUUUUCUUUAGGAAAGUUAGAGUCGUCAGAGUAUAUUUUGAACAAGGCCUAUUUUAUGUGGCCUUGAAUUUAAGUAGGUUGGCGUACAUUGGGGACACUGGACCUUGUAAAUGCACGGCCCCCAGUUAAGAGCCUUGGUCUUAGGGCACUGAAAUGGAUCCAACCAUGAGAUGGGCUUGGAGUGCAACCCACCCAUUGAG
RNAcentral lists this long non-coding RNA (220 nucleotides) under Glycine max (soybean). Its description in RNAcentral is "long non-coding RNA (GMAX_LNC004490)". The record is from RNAcentral. Lineage: Eukaryota; Viridiplantae; Streptophyta; Magnoliopsida; Fabales; Fabaceae.